RNAcentral lists this ribosomal RNA (253 nucleotides) under uncultured bacterium. RNAcentral's name for it is "partial 16S ribosomal RNA". It matches the Rfam family "Bacterial small subunit ribosomal RNA", at positions 524 to 776 of the family's 1533-position model. The record is from RNAcentral.
UACGGAGGGUGCAAGCGUUGUCCGGAAUCACUGGGCGUAAAGGGCGCGUAGGCGGCCUGAUAAGUAGGGGGUGAAAUCCUGCGGCUUAACCGCAGGGCUGCCUUCUAAACUGUCAGGCUUGAGCACGGUAGAGGCAGAUGGAAUUCCCGGUGUAGCGGUGGAAUGCGUAGAGAUCGGGAAGAACAUCAGUGGCGAAGGCGGUCUGCUGGGCCGUUGCUGACGCUGAGGCGCGACAGCGUGGGGAGCAAACAGG